UGGGCGGCAGGAGCUGCGGGCGCCUCAGUCUUUUUGGGUUCCCCUUCCUCCUUGCUGGGCUCCUCCCCGGCGGCAGGGGCCGCGCUCUCGGCCGGGGCCGCGGCGGCCUCAGCAGCUUUGGGGGCCUCGCCGCCCGCAGCGGGGCCGGGGGCCGCCUGCUCCUGCUCGGGCGCCUUCGGGGGCUCAGCCUUGGCCUCUGCCGCGCCCUCCGUCUUCUCGGGCUCCGCCUUCGGGGCCUCCUCCUUGGCAGCCGCCGCGUCCUUCUCGCCCUCCUUCUCCUCGGCCUUGCCCUCGGCGUCCUGGUCGGGCUUCUCCUUGCCCUCCUUGGCCUCGGCGGGCUCUGCGGCCGCCUGGGGCUCACUCUCCUUCGGGGUCCCCUCCUCUUCCGUCGCCGCGCCCUCGGCCUUCUUGUCUUUCUCCUUGGCUUUCUCGUCGUUCACAUUGUAGCCCUUCUUCUUCUUGCUGAGCUUGCCUCCCAUCUUGGAGU
RNAcentral lists this long non-coding RNA (487 nucleotides) under Homo sapiens (human). Its description in RNAcentral is "HSALNT0084976". Lineage: Eukaryota; Metazoa; Chordata; Mammalia; Primates; Hominidae. The record is from RNAcentral.